Cerioporus squamosus is the source of this 96-nucleotide non-coding RNA. Lineage: Eukaryota; Fungi; Basidiomycota; Agaricomycetes; Polyporales; Polyporaceae. The record is from the annotation of a GenBank genome assembly.
GGGCAUGUGGUGUAGUUGGUUAUCACGCUCGCUUAGCAUCCUCCAAUUCGGCUACUAGCAUGCGAGAGGGGUCCGGUUCAAUCCCGGACAUGUCCA